ACCGUCUCUGAGCCGACUCUCCUGAAAACGGUGACUCAGAUUUUCUCGGAGGCGGAGUCACCUCACCUCGCCAACAACUCCAACGGCCGCCACCCCCACCUAGCGGAUCACUGUAGCACAUCAGGUUGGAGUCUACUGUGCUCUGCUGUACUCUAAUGCAUUCUGCAGUGUUGAGCUGCGAAGAAACAGGGCGUUGCAUUUGAUCCGAUUAAAUUCAACGUGUGAAGUCAGUGACUCAGUCUCUGAGCUCGGUGCAGAGCAGCGUUGGCGCUGAAGGUUGAUGGUCAGCCUGGUGAAACUCAAACUUUUCUCCCUCAGGUUUACACCUUCGAGUUGUAUCUGACAUCGGAGGAACUCUUUCAGUUUGGCUUGGAAGCGGCCGACGAGCUGCACAGCUGAACACGUUUGUUCUGCUGUUCAUGUUACAAACAAUCAAAUGAAUAAUGUUACAAAAUCGCUCUAACACAAAAUAUUUUCCCUAAAAACUUCGUCGAAUAACAAACUGAUCCAUGUUUGUGCUGUGACCGUCACCAGGCUGCGACGCCGCUCAGCUGUCACUGCCUGCUGACCCGAGAGUUUGAGCGGGUUGGGCUUCUACGGUACCGUGCAAUGCUGGACCCUCAGCAGUGGAAGGAGGCUUACUUUGUCCUGCAGAAGUCCAACCUGUUCAUCGCCGCCGAGGACAUCAUCAACCUCAACCGCCUGCAGGAGCUGAGUAUGUGUGCUGGUCCCGGUCCGGGUCCUGGUUGUUAUUGAUGGAGCUCUCUGUGUUCAAGUAUCACCUCCGAGAUGGAGAACCAGGAGAAGAAAGUCAUCCUGGUCCACAAUACCAUUUUGAACAGGCAGGAAACAAGAAUAUCUGCAUAUCUCAGGGAACAGAAAAGACCUGUUCAGCCUGUUCAGUCUCUUCCUGUCCCCAGCAGAGAUGAUCUCAAUCAGAUGAUCUCAGUCUCCUAGCAUAAACCCCCUUAAGGAUGUAACCAACGUCAAAGUACAACCCGUGCUAUAUGUUUGCAAAUCGAUCCUUAGAACUAGGGGAUUUCGACUCACAUUUGAGCAGGAACGCACACGGCUGGAGAUCUCUAUUCCCCUGCACUCAUGGAGAAAAAACAUGCCUAGUGCUCCUCGGACUUGUGAUACGGCAGGACAGUUGUAAAAGCAUGUGACGUCAUCACCGUAGUAAACAGUGAGAACAAAGUGGAACUUAUCGGCAGAAAUUACCACUACACUUAUAGCGAUGCAACAGAAAUAUAAGGAGACUUUCUGACAGUGUACUUUACAUUUUAAACACGUGCUUUCGGUGUUCCCGUCAGAACGCUCCACCUGCAGGGCAUCGGUUGGGCAGAUUUCUCUCUGUGGUACUCGGACAUUCAACGAGCAGCCGCUCUGAGAGACCAGCAGAUGAGCAGGAACGACAUCCCCAUCAUCGUGGACAGCUGCAUCGCCUUCAUCACACAGUAGGGUGAAGAAGACAGCAUGAUAGACUUUCCUUGUUGGUCUGGGUCACGAGGGCAUCUACAGGAAGAACGGAGCCAAAUCCAGGAUCAAACUGCUGAUGGAGGAGUUCCGCAGAAACGCUCGAAACGUCAAGCUGCGGAUUGGGGACUACUUCAUCGAGGACGUGACCGACGUACUGAAGAGGUUCUUCAGAGAGAUUGAUGACCCUGUCUUCAUGGUCGACCUCAACCCGCUGUGGCAGGAAGCUGCCAAGGCGUGCGAGGCUGGACCGUUACAAAGAAAUCAUCCGCACUCUACCCCGAGUCAACCGGAUGACCCUGGCUGCUCUCAUCAGUCACCGGUACAGAGCCUGGUGGGGGUGGGGCUUAGGUACUUGCCUUUUUGUAGAAUGUUCGCGUGGUUAGAACACCGCCACUGAAAAUCUAACUGACAAACAGCAGUUCCUCCCACCCUCAGCACUCCCUCUGGGCCUCCGAGCCCCUCCGCUCCCCUCCCAUUGCUCAAUGCAGCUGAUCAGGCAUCCCCCGCAGAUGGCAGGGAGUCACCGUCACUGUUUGAGAGUUGCAGCCGGAGGGUGAAGGCUCGCAGCGCAUCCACCUUGCCGGUCCCCUGCAGAGACAUGGCGUCUCAGUCCUCAGACAGGAUAGACCACCUGCAGCAGGAGAAAGAGAUGCUGAUGGAGGAGGUCAAAGCUAAGAAGGAGCCAGUGUGGAUCCUCCACAAAGCGCUGGAGGUGGCUUAGCUGGAGAAGUGAGUCUGCGCCGAGUUUUUGGCAGAGGAGGGCGAGCAGGAACGUCUGGAGCUGCUGUGACACUGCGAGCGACAGGUGGCCGACCUGCAGGGGCGGCUGGACGAGGCCAAGAUGGAGGUGGAGGCGGUGAGGAAGAGUCUGGCUGAGAAGGCAGCAGAACAUCAGGAUGUUGAUGGAGAAGAACAACGCCAAGCAGGAGGUGAGGAAAAACCAGAGGUCAGACUGACCUGUGGUUGGUCACGUUAAAGUAACCUGCGCACGUUUGUUCCCAUGACUGAAAGUUUCUCUGAGAUCUGGGGCUGUUCCUGGAGCUGCUGCUGACUCAGGAAAAAAGCACAAACCGAGCAUGGGUGGAUGUUGAGACAGAGGGCCUCUCCCGUGCAUUCAACGCUCCACCUAAAUGACCAGCCCAGAUGAUGGAUGUGUCAUGUGAUUCAGUGGAAAACUGAGAAUCGUAGCCAAAAGAAAAAAGUGGAAUGCUUGAGGAAGAUCACAGAGCAAAAGGCUCAUUGAGCGAGAGCGGUGGGCAGGUUGGUGUUCUGCACCAUUUGUUAGGUCUCUUCAGAGGUGUUUUUAAAAAAAAAAAAAAUAAUUUUCUAAGGUUUUCAGUCGUUUCCAUCCAUGAGUGAUUUGACUAGAAUUAAAACUGUGAAGACAAUCUCCAAUAUGUGUCACAAAUCUUCAUUUCAAUGUCCUAUAAUUUACCAUGAAAUUGAGACAGUAAUGAUCCAGUGGCAUUGGUUCCACACAGUGGAGAGUUGUAGUAAUGACUAGAAAGUUCACUGACUCAGAAAUAAACACACAUUGAAGACACUUUGCUCAGGGAGUCCAUUCAUGAACUCCUCUUGGUCUGUAUGUCGUCUGCAGCCAGAAGUGACACCUUUGCCCUGCUAGCAGGAUCUCCUGCAGUGAAACCUGCAGGAUCUGCACAACAGCCUACAGCUUAUGUGCAAACUUCAAUAAAAAAUCUUGGAAGAGACACAUCUUUCCAAACCUCUGCAGGCUCCUACCCGCUGCUGGAGGAGGGAGAGCAAUUUGACCUGACCAUGGACACUGAGCGCAUUUCUCCAUAGGAGCUGUCUAUCAGGCAGGAAACUAGGGGGAAAAGGAAAAAAAGGAAGCUGCUUCUAUAGGUGGCAGGAGUUCAGGCAGCAGUUUGAUCUGCCGGAAGGCUCAAACUCCGAAGACAUCACCUGCUACCUGGAUCCAGGUGGGAAGUUCCGCAUCCAGGCAUCCAAAAGUCUGUGUGAAGGAGGCUGAGACAGAGAUUUGAAGAAAUUUUCAUGUCUUAAGAUUUUUUUUUUUAAACCUAAAAUUUCAAUAAUUAAAGUGGGAAGACUGACCAGAGUGGAGAAACUGAGAAAAGGUG
This is a long non-coding RNA of Pelmatolapia mariae (spotted tilapia), 3578 nucleotides long. RefSeq lists it as uncharacterized. The transcript has 6 exons. The record is from RefSeq and is a predicted model, not a curated record. NCBI's taxonomy places the organism in Eukaryota, Metazoa, Chordata, Actinopteri, Cichliformes, Cichlidae.